UUUCAGCGGACGAGCACCAGGCAGGCCGCUAUCCUGGGCAUCCUUUUGGGCCUGGGGAUCUGAAUUUUGUCAGUGGAUGGCAGGCCUAUGCAGGGGAAUACGACCGGCGAUACGCCUAGGAUAUGUGUAGGCGUAUUGUGUGCAGCCCAUCCCCAGCAUCUGUGCCCGCGCGUCAUUCGCCUGGACCGAAAUCAAGGCCCAUGACCACUCGUUCGAAACAGCACAGGCCAGAGAAUCUUGUCACGACGGGGCUGCGUGGAAUACACGAGAGCCACGCAGCUGGUCGUCUCCUCCCUCCCAAUCUGCAUCACUUUGGCGAACAUCGGCGACUGUGCUGCUCCGGCAAGAUGUCAAUGGCGUCGAGAUCAACGGGAUUCUAUGAGCGUCCCAAACGCCGCGUUUGGCGCCGCCGGCUGUGCGCGUGCGACCGAAGCGACGGCCGGAGCACUCGUCCUCUUCCACUCCGGCGGCCAAACCACCUGGAUCCCACGUCGUCUUCCACUGCGGCGGCCAGAUCACCUCGAGCUUGCGCAACACCGGAUCUGCAGGGCAGGCGGUCCUCAUCCAUGGAUCUGGCCGGGGGCAAUCAUUUUCUCCAUUGUUUCCGUUGUCAGGAUCCGUGUUGGGAUGGCAAAGCUCAUUCCUGAUGUCCUCCCCGUGGAGUCGUGAGAUUCCAUCAAUAUCGUCGAUUGUCAGUUGGGCCGCCGCGGCGAGGGCACACAGCUGUGCGGGGACGCCGGCUUUGACGUUUGCUCAGAAGCCACUGGUGGCGGGACCAUAAGCAGGCGAUGAUGAAUGGAACGCCCAUGAACAUACGCUAGUAGGCAUUUGAAGUGAAGGAUGUGUGUGUUGGCAACUAGUCCUGGUCCCACCUUUGAUUCGCUUGCUUGUCUGUUUUGUUCAAAAUAUGAUGCAGGGUUAGGAUUAAACCGCCUUAUGAGCAGCAUUUGAAGAGGUCGCGCUUUUGCAAGAUUUGUAGAAUGCAAUGAAACAAAAGCACAACAUCAACAUGUCUUGAUAGAGGAGAUUUGCCGAAGGUGCCAAGGAAAUUGCUGAAAUGUUCGGAUGUGGUGUUCUCGGACACCGCUGAAUUGUGUGUUGUAAGGACACUGGACCAUUUGAGCCUAACUUUUUUUUAGAUGGUUGCUGUUGUUGGUCAAAGAGUUUUCAACUCUCACGAAUUCCUUUCUUAUUUAUGUGCCUUUUCAUGUAAUCGCGAACUGUGUGAUCUGAUUUUACAUUGGACUUGGACCGGUUUGUUGAACACUGCUAGUUGGGUGAAAAAAAUUCAUUGUUGUGAGCCGAUUGCUAUGUUUC
Molecule: long non-coding RNA, 1317 nt
Organism: Triticum dicoccoides
Lineage: Eukaryota; Viridiplantae; Streptophyta; Magnoliopsida; Poales; Poaceae
Exons: 4
Source: RefSeq, a predicted model, not a curated record